Molecule: long non-coding RNA, 1073 nt
Filed under: Heterocephalus glaber (naked mole-rat)
Lineage: Eukaryota; Metazoa; Chordata; Mammalia; Rodentia; Bathyergidae
Description: lncRNA (ENSHGLG00000050597.1)
Source: RNAcentral
AUAUAUAUAUAUAUAUAUAUAUAUAUAAUUUUCAUGGCUAUACAAUGGACCAUCCAGGGGCUAUUUUGCUAUUUGCUAAACUAUUCCCUGUUACUGAAUACCUGGUUAAUUCCAAUCGUGGACACACUGUGAAGAACACCUUUUGACAUAAAACCUCACAUAAUUCCCAGUUAUUAUUAUUAUUUUUGGUACCGGGAUCAAACUUGGGUCCUUGGGCUUGCAAGGCAGGCAGCGGAACCAUUGAGCUAAAUCCCCGGCCCUCCUAGUUAUUUUCUUUGGUGGAUUUUAGGAGACUAUGGUGCUUCAAGGCAUGGAUUCUGGAGCUGGACUUCCCAACCCUGCCUGGCACUGCCCCUUCCAGCUGUGGGACAGUGGUGACUUUGAGUAAGUGACAAAGGGCUGUGCCUCAGUUUCUGACAGUGUGGGAAAGCACAGCCCAGGAGCCCUGGGCACCCGGAGAGGGCUCUGUGAGGGGACUCACUGCCUGCUUGCCUGGUCUCCCUCCAUGGACACCACUGGUCGGGAACAUCAGCCGCUCCAUCUUUAAGCAUUUGUGGAGGAGGAAACCAAGGCCACAAGUGGCUGUUUCCAUGAGAGGGCCUCACACCCAGGACCUUCCUCCAAGGGGAUGGACUUGCUGUCACUUCAGGGAGCCCCAGGCAUAUGUCCUGAGCUAAGGUAUGCGAGAUGAUUCAGCAGGGCAUUUCCUUCCCCAACCCCUUUUUUCCCAGCUCUGGGGAUGAAACCCAUAGCCUUCUCAGCCAGCUACAUCCCCAGCCCUUUUGUGAAUUUUUUUUUUUCGGUACCAGGGAUCGAACUCAGGACCUUGAGCUCCAGGGGCAGGCUCCGUGCCACUGAGGUAAAGCCCUGGCCCCUCCUUCUGUGAAAUUUUUUUUUGGUACCAGGGAUCGAUCUCAGGACCUUGCGCUUGCAAGGUAGGCACCGGAACCACUGAGCUAAAUCCUGGCCCUGUGAAUUUUUGACAUAGAAUCUCACUAGGUCCUUAAAUUUCCUGGCCUAAGCUCCAGCUUUCAACCCUCCUACAUCAGCCUUCCAGAGUGCUGGAAUUACAG